Molecule: ribosomal RNA, 380 nt
Filed under: uncultured Bacteroidales bacterium
Lineage: Bacteria; Pseudomonadati; Bacteroidota; Bacteroidia; Bacteroidales
Description: bacterial SSU rRNA
Rfam family: Bacterial small subunit ribosomal RNA
Source: RNAcentral
GCUAGCUACAGGCUUAACACAUGCAAGUCGAGGGGUAGCAGGGUAGCAAUACCGCUGACGACCGGCGCACGGGUGAGUAACACGUAUCCAACCUUCCCAUAACUCAGGGAUAGCCUUUCGAAAGAAAGAUUAAUACCCGAUAGUACUUUAUUAAGGCAUCUUAAGAAAGUUAAAGAUUUAUUGGUUAUGGAUGGGGAUGCGUUCCAUUAGAUAGUUGGUGAGGUAACGGCUCACCAAGUCUUCGAUGGAUAGGGGUUCUGAGAGGAAGGUCCCCCACAUUGGUACUGAGACACGGACCAAACUCCUACGGGAGGCAGCAGUGAGGAAUAUUGGUCAAUGGGCGAGAGCCUGAACCAGCCAAGUAGCGUGAAGGAUGACGG